This 63-nucleotide ribosomal RNA is filed under the name Gammaproteobacteria bacterium. Its description in RNAcentral is "partial 23S ribosomal RNA". The record is from RNAcentral. Lineage: Bacteria; Pseudomonadati; Pseudomonadota; Gammaproteobacteria.
AAUGUAUGAAGCUAACCAGUACUAAUUGCCCGUGAGGCUUGACCAUAUAACACCCAAGUAGUU